CCUACGGGACGCACCAGUGGGGAAUAUUGGACAAUGGGCGAAAGCCUAAUCCAGCAAUGCCGCGUGUGUGAAGAAGGUCUUCGGAUUGUAAAGCACUUUCGACGGGGUCGAUGAUGACGGUACCCGUAGAAGAAGCCCCGGCUAACUUCGUGCCAGCAGCCGCGGUAAUACGAAGGGGGCUAGCGUUGCUCGGAAUGACUGGGCGUAAAGGGCGCGUAGGCGGUUUAUGCAGUCAGAUGUGAAAUCCCCGGGCUUAACCUGGGAGCUGCAUUUGAGACGCAUAGACUAGAGGUCGAGAGAGGGUUGUGGAAUUCCCAGUGUAGAGGUGAAAUUCGUAGAUAUUGGGAAGAACACCGGUGGCGAAGGCGGCAACCUGGCUCGAUACUGACGCUGAGGCGCGAAAGCGUGGGGAGCAAACAGGAUUAGAUACCCCGGUAGUC
This 440-nucleotide ribosomal RNA is filed under the name uncultured bacterium. RNAcentral's name for it is "bacterial SSU rRNA". It matches the Rfam family "Bacterial small subunit ribosomal RNA", at positions 338 to 795 of the family's 1533-position model. The record is from RNAcentral.